AUGCACGCUGGCGGCGUGCUUAACACCUGCAAGUCGCACGGAAAGGCUCCUGCUUGCAGGGGUACUCGAGUGGCGAACGGGUGAGUAACACGUGGGUGAUCUGCCCUGCACUUCGGGAUAAGCCUGGGAAACUGGGUCUAAUACCGGAUAGGACGAUGGUUUGGAUGCCAUUGUGGAAAGUUUUUUCGGUGUGGGAUGAGCUCGCGGCCUAUCAGCUUGUUGGUGGGGUAAUGGCCUACCAAGGCGUCGACGGGUAGCCGGCCUGAGAGGGUGUACGGCCACAUUGGGACUGAGAUACGGCCCAGACUCCUACGGGAGGCAGCAGUGGGGAAUAUUGCACAAUGGGCGCAAGCCUGAUGCAGCGACGCCGCGUGGGGGAUGACGGCCUUCGGGUUGUAAACUCCUUUCGCUAGGGACGAAGCGCAAGUGACGGUACCUGGAGAAGAAGCACCGGCUAACUACGUG
RNAcentral lists this ribosomal RNA (465 nucleotides) under uncultured bacterium. RNAcentral's name for it is "partial 16S ribosomal RNA". It matches the Rfam family "Bacterial small subunit ribosomal RNA", at positions 29 to 507 of the family's 1533-position model. The record is from RNAcentral.